GCAAGUCGAACGAAGAAAGCACUUCGGUGUUAUUAAGAGUGGCGCACGGGUGAGUAACGCGUGGAUAAUCUGCCCUCGAGUGGGGAACAACUUACCGAAAGGUAGGCUAAUACCGCAUAAGACCACAGAAGCUGAGGCUUCAGGGGUCAAAGAUUUAUCGCUUGAGGAUGAGUCCGCGUAGGAUUAGCUUGUUGGUGAGGUAAAAGCUCACCAAGGCGACGAUCUAUAGCUGGUCUGAGAGGAUGAUC
Molecule: ribosomal RNA, 248 nt
Filed under: uncultured bacterium
Lineage: Bacteria
Description: partial 16S ribosomal RNA
Rfam family: Bacterial small subunit ribosomal RNA
Source: RNAcentral